UGGGGAAUUUUGGACAAUGGGCGAAAGCCUGAUCCAGCAAUGCCGCGUGCAGGAUGAAGGCCUUCGGGUUGUAAACUGCUUUUGUACGGAACGAAAAAGCUCCUUCUAAUACAGGGGGCCCAUGACGGUACCGUAAGAAUAAGCACCGGCUAACUACGUGCCAGCAGCCGCGGUAAUACGUAGGGUGCGAGCGUUAAUCGGAAUUACUGGGCGUAAAGCGUGCGCAGGCGGUUAUGUAAGACAGAUGUGAAAUCCCCGGGCUCAACCUGGGAACUGCAUUUGUGACUGCAUGGCUAGAGUACGGUAGAGGGGGAUGGAAUUCCGCGUGUAGCAGUGAAAUGCGUAGAUAUGCGGAGGAACACCGAUGGCGAAGGCAAUCCCCUGGACCUGUACUGACGCUCAUGCACGAAAGCGUGGGGAGCAAACAGGAUUAGAUACCCUGGUAGUCCACGCCCUAAACGAUGUCAACUGGUUGUUGGGAAUUAGUUUUCUCAGUAACGAAGCUAACGCGUGAAGUUGACCGCCUGGGGAGUACGGCCGCAAGGUUG
Molecule: ribosomal RNA, 548 nt
Filed under: Delftia sp. Mississippi MCAA15
Lineage: Bacteria; Pseudomonadati; Pseudomonadota; Betaproteobacteria; Burkholderiales; Comamonadaceae
Also listed under: 1 other name
Description: bacterial SSU rRNA
Rfam family: Bacterial small subunit ribosomal RNA
Source: RNAcentral